This 253-nucleotide ribosomal RNA is filed under the name uncultured bacterium. RNAcentral's name for it is "partial 16S ribosomal RNA". It matches the Rfam family "Bacterial small subunit ribosomal RNA", at positions 524 to 776 of the family's 1533-position model. The record is from RNAcentral.
UACGAAGGGGGCGAGCGUUGUUCGGAUUUACUGGGCGUAAAGGGCGCGUAGGCGGCCUUGUCAGUCAGGCGUGAAAGCCCCGGGCUCAACCUGGGAACGGCGCUUGGGACGGCGAGGCUGGAGUUCGGGAGAGGAGAGUGGAAUUCCCAGUGUAGAGGUGAAAUUCGUAGAUAUUGGGAAGAACACCGGUGGCGAAGGCGGCUCUCCGGACCGACACUGACGCUGAGGCGCGAAAGCGUGGGGAGCAAACAGG